Molecule: ribosomal RNA, 327 nt
Filed under: uncultured Lachnospiraceae bacterium
Lineage: Bacteria; Bacillati; Bacillota; Clostridia; Lachnospirales; Lachnospiraceae
Description: bacterial SSU rRNA
Rfam family: Bacterial small subunit ribosomal RNA
Source: RNAcentral
GAUGAACGCUGGCGGCGUGCCUAACACAUGCAAGUCGAACGGGAACUCUCAAAUGAAGGUUCGCUGGAUUUUGAGAAAUUCUAGUGGCGGACGGGUGAGUAACGCGUGGGUAACCUGCCCUUAAGAGGGGAAUAACAUCGAGAAAUCGGUGCUAAUACACCAUAUGCUUACGGAAUCGCAUGGUUCUGUGAGGAAAAGAAUUUCGCUUAAGGAUGGACCCGCGUUUGAUUAGCCAGUUGGCAGGGUAACGGCCUACCAAAGCAACGAUCAAUAGCCGGCCUGAGAGGGUGAACGGCCACAUUGGAACUGAGACACGGUCCAAACUCC